RNAcentral lists this transfer RNA (69 nucleotides) under Marmota marmota marmota (Alpine marmot). It matches the Rfam family "tRNA". Rfam says of the family: Transfer RNA (tRNA) molecules are approximately 80 nucleotides in length. Lineage: Eukaryota; Metazoa; Chordata; Mammalia; Rodentia; Sciuridae. The record is from Rfam by way of RNAcentral. RNAcentral also lists the same sequence under 2 other names.
GGAGUUGUAGCUCAGUGGUAGAGUACUUGCUUAGCAUGUGUGAGGCACUGGGUUCAAUUCUCAGCACCA